UGAUUAGCGAGUGCUCCACUGGAACGCUAUUUCGAGUUCUGGGUUGUGAACGAUUCUAAGUAAAACAGUUCGUCUCACUUCCAGAAAGACUUCUAUUCUCACACCAUACAAAGAUAUAAGGCUCCCGAGAAAAAGGUGUUCUUGGCGGCACCACUUUAAGUGCUCGCAAGAAUGAUUCCACCUAGAAAUAUAGACGAGCUACUUCUCAGGUUACGGAAAUUUGCUCCAGAAGAAUCCGUGGCAGACACUUCAGCCCGGGCGGUAACCAUGGCUGGUAACAGCGGCGCUGUAAGUGCUCCACCCGGGAUUGCUAGUGUUUCCGGAGCAACGACAGUGGGAUCUAACAUCACUUCUGUUCCGGAGGAAAAUUUCGGCGAAAAAAUGCUUCACAAAAUAAUGGAUAAGACACAUCUUCCACUCUUUGUCAUUAUUCUUAUCCUGAUUGGAAUCGCUCUUCUGUUUUUGUGUAUCUGUUACUGCUGUCUAAGACGUUGGUGUAGGAGGCGGAAGAAAGACGGAAAGAAAGGCUUGAAAGGAGCAGUAGACUUCAAAAGCGUGCAGCUUUUGGGAAAUGCGUACAAGGAAAAGGUACAGCCGGAUAUGGAAGAAUUACAAGAUAAUAUGGAGGAUAAUGAAGGAGAAGAAGAAAGCGCCAAGUCUGAAGUGAAAUUAGGUCGCCUCCAGUACAAGUUAGAUUACGACUUUAAUACCAGUAACUUAGCAGUGACAGUAAUUCAAGCAGAGGAUCUUCCAGGAAUGGAUAUGUCUGGUACAUCGGAUCCUUAUGUCAAGGUGUAUAUGUUGCCCGACAAGAAGAAGAAAUACGAAACUAAAGUUCACCGAAAGACACUAAACCCUGUGUUUAACGAGACCUUCAAUUUCAAGAUACCUUACUCUGAAAUUACUUCUAAAACUCUGGUAUUCGCCAUCUUUGACUUUGACCGUUUCUCGAAGCACGAUCAAAUAGGAGAAGUCAAGCUACCUCUAAACACACUAGACUUAGCCCAGACUAUCGAAGAAUGGCGAGAUCUUACUAGCGUAGAGGGAGAGCAAGGACAGGAAAAUAAGUUGGGAGAUAUUUGCUUUUCCUUACGUUAUGUGCCCACAGCUGGAAAACUUACAGUUGUAAUUCUCGAGGCUAAAAAUCUGAAGAAAAUGGACGUUGGUGGCUUGUCAGAUCCGUAUGUGAAAAUAGCUUUGAUGAUGAAUGGCAAGAGAAUCAAGAAGAAGAAGACGAGUAUCAAGAAGUGCACACUCAACCCCUAUUAUAAUGAGUCAUUUACAUUUGAGGUACCAUUCGAACAAAUUCAGAUCCCUUUUUCUUUGGCGACCUGCGCAGUGAAGAUUUAAAGGAUCCCUGUAAAGAUGAGACAGAAAUUUAAAGGAAAUCUGGAUGAGAGACGACAAGAACAGGAACUAAAGAAAAUUAAAUUCUAUCAUGACAGCUGAAGACGACAGGUAUCUAGAGGCACGGCAAUGAGCCCGGUCAAGGUAUUACAAGAAAUGCUGAAGCAACAUUACUGGACUUUUUGAACGAAUCGGAGGUAUUACAACAUAACUUACUACUUUUGUAAUUCCAAUGUUCUUAGGUUCUGUUGCGUUAUGUUAAAAGCAGUAACUUCAUAGAUAUUUUAGAAAUGAACUGUCUAGAAGUGUUAUGAUUAUUGUUGGUUUUGUUCUGCAGCUUUGUGGCCCUGGAGUCCAUAACUUGCAAAAAUCAAAUAUAAUGAUACAUUUCCGUUAAAUUCAAGUUUUGUUGGAAAUGUUAAUGAAAACUCAAGUUGUAAAAUUUAAUCAAAUCAUUUUACAUGUACAUAACCAGCCACUCUAAAAUGAGUUAAAUUAUAUAAAAGGGUAAACCUUGUUAAGAUGUUGUAUACAAAUUGGACAAGUUAAAGACGAAAAAAUGUGGAAUACUUAGGCUCGGUUUUUUAUUUCAACAAGAAUAAGCAGCAACAUAAAUAUAAAAAGAAGUCCAGAACUGACCACCAAUUCUUGGGCUAAUAUUAUCUGGUCAAAUAAAGAAGUCCAGAACUUACCCACAACUAUUGGGCUAAUGUUCUCUGAUCAAAUAAAGAAGUCCAGAACUGACCAUCAACUCUUGGGCUAAUAUUGAUGAUCAAAUAAAGAAGUCUAUAACUGACCACCAACUCUUAGACUAAUAUUGUCUGAUCAAAUAAAGGGAAGUCCAGAACUGACCACUAACUCUUGGGCUAAUAUUGUCUGAUCAAAUGGUUCGAUUUAAUCGUCACUCCUAUAGUACACCCACGGCCUCAAAGAGCGGUGUGUGUUUCUAAGGAAACGGUUCGUGAAACAAGAAUGUCUGAGCACACUAAUCACUAUGACAGGCAAUGCCUAAAACUGAUUGUUGUUUUUCUGUGAAUGACUUUGUUAGAAAUAAUUGUAUGACACUCUUGUCAUUUCUAGGAAUACAUAGACAGCUGUCACAGUUCUAAUCGAUAUUCUGACUAAUAUUAUGGACUAAGUGUACAAUAACAUUUUUCGAGGCUUUAUUUACGCAGUUUUCUGUAGAAUAGCGGGGUAUUUGGUAUAAGUAUUGUCUUUGUAAAUGUAAUUUCACAUUUCUUUUAUUUAUCUGACGAUGUUAAGUCGUUCUAUAUUAUUUUUGUAGGUCUGGAUUGUCAAGGUUUCUUAUCUUGACGAAAAUCCUUUUAGAUUUGGUAAAUGAGGGAAAGAAGGAACCUUAACGUAGAGAGUACCAGUCUUAAACAAUUAUGCAUUAACGACACCUUACGACUGUAUAUUUUCUAUAGUCAAAGUUCAUUAUCAGGGCUUGAGUAAAUAACAUCCAAAUAUUGAUACUUGAAUAUUAAUAAUACUUUUUGGUUAUCAAUAUAUAUAAUUAAUUUCAAAUACUAUUGAAUUAAAGUUGAAUAGGCUGUUAUUUAAACAAUUAUCGUUUAUCAGUAUUGUAAUUAUACCUAAAUAUAUUCAUUAUUGAUUAAAUAUUAAGGAAAUAACGAAUUAAACUGACCACGUAACUCUUACUAUCCCCAAAUUGACCUGAAAGUUAUUAUGAAACCCAUUUUCAGGCUACAAAAUGUUUUUCCGCAACAAAGAUCGUUUGCAGACUGCUUAUUGUUCAGAUCUCGUCUACUUAUACACGUGCGGAAACUGUAAGGCCUCCUAUGUUGGUGAAAUCAAAUGUCACCUUAAAGUACGAGCAUGUGAACACGCGGACAUAUCUAUAAAAACUGGAAGAAAGGUUACAAACCCUCCCAA
RNAcentral lists this unclassified non-coding RNA (3243 nucleotides) under Limulus polyphemus (Atlantic horseshoe crab). RNAcentral describes it as "synaptotagmin-1-like, transcript variant X6". Lineage: Eukaryota; Metazoa; Arthropoda; Merostomata; Xiphosura; Limulidae. The record is from RNAcentral.